RNAcentral lists this ribosomal RNA (462 nucleotides) under uncultured bacterium. Its description in RNAcentral is "bacterial SSU rRNA". It matches the Rfam family "Bacterial small subunit ribosomal RNA", at positions 29 to 532 of the family's 1533-position model. The record is from RNAcentral.
AACGAACGCUGGCGGCAGGCUUAACACAUGCAAGUCGAACGGACGUAGCAAUACGUUAGUGGCGCACGGGAGAGUAACACGUGGGAACCUACCUUUUAGUUCGGAAUAACGUCGGGAAACUGACGCUAAUACCGGAUACGCCCCAAGGGGGAAAGAUUUAUCGCUAAAAAGAUGGGCCCGCGCUAGAUUAGCUAGUUGGUAAGGUAAUGGCUUACCAAGGCUACGAUCUAUAGCUGGUCUGAGAGGAUGACCAGCCUCACUGGGACUGAGACACGGCCCAGACUCCUACGGGAGGCAGCAGUGGGGAAUAUUGGACAAUGGGGGCAACCCUGAUCCAGCCAUGCCGCGUGAAUGAUGAAGGCCUUCGGGUUGUAAAGUUCUUUUGGAGGGGACGAUGAUGACGGUACCUCAGAAUAAGCUCCGGCUAACUUCGUGCCAGCAACCGCGGUAAUCUGUAGUCGU